UACGUAGGGGGCAAGCGUUGUCCGGAUUUACUGGGCGUAAAGAGCGCGCAGGCGGUCGAUCAAGUCGAGUGUGAAAGCCCCCGGCUCAACUGGGGAGGGUCAUUCGAUACUGAUCGACUCGAAGGCAGGAGAGGGUAGUGGAAUUCCAGGUGUAGCGGUGAAAUGCGUAGAUAUCUGGAGGAACACCGGUGGCGAAGGCGGCAUCCUGGACCAAUAUUGACGCUGAGGAGCGAAAGCCAGGGGAGCAAACGGG
This 253-nucleotide ribosomal RNA is filed under the name uncultured bacterium. RNAcentral describes it as "partial 16S ribosomal RNA". It matches the Rfam family "Bacterial small subunit ribosomal RNA", at positions 524 to 776 of the family's 1533-position model. The record is from RNAcentral.